AGCGAACGCUGGCGGCAGGCCUAACACAUGCAAGUCGAACGGUAAGGCCCCAGCUUGCUGGGGUACACGAGUGGCGAACGGGUGAGUAACACGUGGGUGACCUGCCCCGCACUUCGGGAUAAGCCUGGGAAACUGGGUCUAAUACCGGAUAGGACCGCACCGUGAGGGUGUGGUGGAAAGUUUUUCGGUGUGGGAUGGGCCCGCGGCCUAUCAGCUUGUUGGUGGGGUAAUGGCCUACCAAGGCGGCGACGGGUAGCCGGCCUGAGAGGGUGGACGGCCACAUUGGGACUGAGACACGGCCCAGACUCCUACGGGAGGCAGCAGUGGGGAAUAUUGCACAAUGGGCGGAAGCCUGAUGCAGCGACGCCGCGUGGGGGAUGACGGCCUUCGGGUUGUAAACUCCUUUCACCAUCGACGAAGGUUUUCUGACGGUAGAUGGAGAAGAAGCACCGGCUAACUACGUG
RNAcentral lists this ribosomal RNA (464 nucleotides) under uncultured bacterium. RNAcentral's name for it is "partial 16S ribosomal RNA". It matches the Rfam family "Bacterial small subunit ribosomal RNA", at positions 28 to 507 of the family's 1533-position model. The record is from RNAcentral.